GGCAGAUCUGAUUUCCAGAAUUUGUUUUCAACUUCAGCCUAUGUGGAUGUGGCCUCCGAGUUCUUGUGCUUGUUGGAUUGUUUAUCCGAGGCCUCCUAUAGAGGCGUGCUUGUAAUUUUUCUACUACCUAGCUAGACGUUUUGAGUGAGAAGUUGGGUUGUUUUGUUUGUUUGCUUGUUACAUUUUCUUGACACACCAACCUUACCUACCUAAAGAUUUACUACCUUUCCAGUGUGAGUCGGCCGCAUCACCCUCGUGAAAAUGAGGGGAAGGAGACUGCACUGACUUCUAGCAUUUUGUUUUACAGGAUUAGUGUCAUCACUGCUUAUACUUCCUCCUGUCCUUUUUACUCCGAGUAUUAGAUUUGCAUCAAGUCAAACUUUGCAAAGUUUGACCAAAUAUAUAUUAAAAAGUAUUAACAUUUGCUAAACUGAAUAUAUUUUUCAUGAAAGUACAUUUCAUGAUGAAUCUAACAAUAUUGAUUUGGCAUUGUAAAUGUUGAUAAUUUUUUCUAUAAGUUUGAUCAAAGUAGAGAUGCUUUGACUCUAGACAAAACUUAUACGCAGACAAAAAUGACGGGAGGAAGUAUGUAUGCCAAUCAAGAGACCAGGGGCGUGCACAUGAACCCAAGUUCUGUUAAUUUCAGGAUAUUUUGGUCCCACGCCUUCAUGCAAAACAAAAAACACAUCAUUAUGAAAUGGAGAUAGCAACAUUAUGGUGACACACUUUCAGAAAGCUUGGUGUCCUACCUUGCCUACCUGAAGUCUGGAGAGGUAGAUAGAUAGAUAUCCUACCUAGGACCUGAACCAUCAGGCCCAUGCGCGGACGCCCUCCCUGAUGCAGGAAAAAGCAUGGUGUUUGGUCCACCUGAGCUGAGCUCGCACACCUGUGCUCGCGCUAUGAUUUGUUUCUGUCAGCGCAGGGCGCAGUGGGCGGAGACGAUCCACGCCUCCACGGGGCCAUGGCCCAGGCCCAGCCAGUGCCAGAGCUGUAGCUGGCUGCUACGUACGCCUGCCACGGCGGGCGUCAUGCCCGGGGGACCAGACGAUUCCGCUGUGCUACGUCGCGUAGAGCGAGGGCGGACGUCGACGUCACAAGCGCGCGCGCCCACGGCGUGCCAUGCCAUGGCCCAUGGACGCGCGUGGAGGACGGCGACGAGCUCGCUCCACCUUUGGUUGGUCUCGUUGUGGCCGGCGACCGUCCCGGGCGGGCAAGAGCGCCGUCGUGAGCCGCCGCGCCGGCCGCGAACAGCACGAGGAUGGCCAACGCUCUGAGCAGCAGCACACGCGUCAUGAUGGGAGUGGUGUGAUGGAUGGGCCACCGUUUCCCCGACGUCCGUCAUGUGGCCCAACGAAAGACUUGAGCAAAGUGCAUGCGGGCCGAGAGGGAUCAGCCAACCAAAAAAGCAGCAGGGUCGUGGAUGGCAAGGCUGCAUAUUCACCCAUGUAUCGGGUCCAGUGGGCCAACCUAGGUCACACUCACACUUCUCUCAAGAAAAACCUAAAAAGAACUUUCUCUCAAGAAAAAACACACACAACCCUAAAAAAUGUAAACACACGCGCACAAACCCUCCGAUCUGUUAGCAGAAGGAACUCACGGCCUUUGCACUGUAGCACAAUAUCAAUAGAAACGGAAGCAGCCAUGGACAACCACCUGGCAUCAACUAUAAUAAAAAAAAUGCCUUCAUCAAAGUGCCUCCAGACUUGCACCACACAUGCAGAACCUUGUCUCUAAUGCUCAAAGUGCCUUCAUCAAGAAGAGGAGCAUCCAUGUUAAUUUCACGUAUGUGAGAAGCUUGGCAAGGAAAUUCCACCGCAACAAGACGCCGACGCUACUAUUCAAACUUGACAUCAAGAAAGCUUUUGACUCCGUGCGGUGGGAUUUCCUCUUGGAUCUUCUAAGGCACUUGGGCUUCCCAAGCAGAUUCCGUGACUGGGUUUCGGCACUCCUUUCCACAUCCUCCUCAAGGGUCUUGAUCAACGGAAUUUUGGGUGACCCUCUGAAGCAUGGCCGCGGUCUUAGGCAAGGUGACCCGCUCUCCCCGUUACUGUUCGUGCUGGCAAUUGACCCCCUGCACCAUCUCCUAAACAAGGCUACAUCUCAAGGGCAUCUCCAUCCUCUCUGUGGUAGGGCAACGAUCAUCCGUGCCUCUCUUUAUGCUGAUGAUGCAGCCAUCUUUGUCAAGCCCAUCAAGGAGGACAUCCAGUUUUUUGCUUCUGUCCUGGCUUCCUUUGGAGAGGUUACCGGUUUAGUCACUAACUGUGCUAAAAGCCUUGUCGUCCCGAUUCGUUGUGAAAGUGUCGAUCUUCAAGACAUUCUUCAUGCUUUUCCGGCUGUCCGCACGUCCUUUCUAAUGAGAUAUCUUGGACUACCGCUAUCGGUCAAGCGCCUCAAGAGGAUCCACUUUCAGCACCUUGAGGAUAAGGUGGCUGGCAAACUCCCUCCGUGGCAAGGAAGACAUGUCGCUACCGCUGGUCGGGCCGUCCUUGUCAAAGUUGUUCUCACUGCCAUUGCCAUUUACCACCUCACGCCGCUCAACAUCCCAGCUUCCUUAGGAAGAUUGAUUCUAUCCGUCGCGCCUAUCUUUGGGCGGGCACCGACAAGGUUUCUGGUGGGAAAUGCAAGGUCAAUUGGGACCUUGUUUGCAAGCCUAAGAAGCACGGUGGCUUAGGUGUGCUCAACUUGGACAAGUUUGCUAAGGCUCUUAGGCUUCGAUGGCUCUGGUUCGAGUGGGAAGAGCCCACAAUACCGUGGAUUGGUAUGGGUACGCCAUGCACUGAUGAAGACAGGUACUUUUUUGCAGCUGCCACUUCCGUCACGGUUGGCAAUGGGCAUGUGGCUAAGUUCCGGAACUCCUCCUCGCUUGAUGGCAUGCGCCCACGGGACCUAGCGCCUGGCAUUUUCGACCUCUCCCGAAGGAAAAACUGCUCGGUCAAACAGGCUUUAACAAACAACACUUGGAUCUCUCAUAUUGACUUCUCCGACGGUCUCACAGUAGACCAUGUCCACCAGUUCAUCACACUUUGGGAGAAGAUUGACUCGGUCACUCUGGAUGAGGACGUGGAGGAUUCCAUUAUUUGGAAGUUCACCAAGGACGGAUCGUACUCAGCUUCCUCGGCUUACAAGGUGCAGUUUGAGGGCCUAACUACGUCAGCCAUGGUCCUAUCGGUGUGGAAGGUGUGGGCUCCUUCGCGGUGCAAAUUUUUCGCAUGGCUUGUACUUCAAGAUAGAAUCUGGACAUCGGACCGCCUUGCCCAACAUGGGUGGCCCAAUUGCGGGCUAUGCCCGCUUUGCAAGCAAAGCCCAGAGACGACAUCCCACUUACUGUUCCAAUGUCGCUACACCCUUCGUGUGUGGAACGAUAUUCUUCGCUGGCUUGGCAUGGAUCACACUCAGGCUACUACUUGGUCAGCGAGGGGCUCGGUGUGGGAAUGGUGGAAUGGAAACAUAUAUCUUUGUUCUGAAUCCCCCAAGACGCUCGCCUCACUAAUGAUGCUAAUCUCCUGGGAAAUUUGGACGGAGCACAAUGCUAGAGUUUUCCGCAACACGGCCGCACCUACGACAGUCGUCAUUAGUAAGAUAAAAGAGGAGUUGUCGCUUUGGGCGUUGGCGGGCGCCAAGCAUUUGAGUGUUGUAAUGCCGCAAGAGUAGAUUUUAUUUCUUGCCACUUCAUGGCCUGUCUAAACCUUCUUCUUAAUCAAUGAAAUGGCAAAUCUUUUGCCUUGUUUAAAAAAACUAUAAUAAAAAAUGUAGUCUAGGACUUGAAUCCAAAUGGGCAUCUCUGAGUGUGUGCACAACUAGCUAAUCGACAGGCAUUCAGUUCUUUAUAGUACAAUCUGGAUUAAUUGCAUUGUUUGUAACUCGGCUAAAGUUUAGGAGAAAGGAGCUAAGAUCAAAUGGCGUGGUUGGAUUAAACCCAAGACCGGGUUUUCGAAGCUCCAUGGUGACAAGAUUUUCUAUGCCAGUCAACAUGACAGGGUUCAAAGAAUUUAUUACCGCUUCAAAUCAAACACAAUAGGGUGCAAAGAAGGGCGCUCGCUCGCAAUGUCCACCUCAUCACAUGUACAGUGAUCAAGGGGGAGAGAGAGAGAGAGAGAGAGAGAGAGAGAGAGAGAGAGAGGAAGGAGUGAGCAAACAUGCAACACAAUUUUUUUUCCAUACUCAGAACUGAGGCAAAAAGAUAAAGUAGCCAAGUAUAUUAGGACUUAGUCUCGCUAUGUUCUGAAACCAAUAUAUAGGUCAUUUUACUACAAUCUACCAGGUCUUCUAGACACCCAAUAAAUCAUACUGCUUGAAAUUAAAUACAUCAGGAGAGGUGAGCACGGCAAGCAACGACAGCAUCAAGCAAGGAGUACAUGGUGGUGGCAGCAAGUAGCCAAGUCAUUGGGGUAUUUGAUGUGGUGAAGCAUCAAUGGCAGAAGCUAUUGCUUUGCAUUGUGCUUUUAUACCAUGGUAUUUCGAUUGGACGCACACAACUGGUAGUAAGCUUAUUAGAUUGUCUCGAGUGAUGCAAACUAUGCUAGAUGGCGGUGAACAAACAUCUUUGCCCCUAAAUGAGUGUUAAUAAUUGGUGAUUAUGAGACUAAUAUUUUGCUCAGAUGUGCAAUUUAAUCCAUAUAUGAAGUAAAAGAAAGGUGGUUGGAGACCUCCCAUAAGAAAUGGGAAAAGAAGAUAACAACGUUUAAAUUCAUGCAAUCAUUACUUUAUUAUUUGUGUCAUAUAGAGAACAUAUUAUUCGGAGGGGUGGAGAUCAAUGCCUAAAAUACAUCCCAAGAAUAUUUUUUACUUUGAGAAACACCACCAAAGGAGGCCUCGAGAAAGUUGUUGGUAGUUAUGUAUUUGUGCUCCAAAGGUAUCUCAGAGGACCUAGGCCGAGCUCCGGGCAAUCCACUUAACCUCUGGUCACCCCUGAAAUGCCCUAGACCCAGUUUAUCUUUGUGUCUACUGAGAUCAUCGUCGUACACCUUGAAGCAUGCCAUGAGCUCCCAACUUAACCUAAAGGUCGUGGGCUCGUGUAGAAACAGGAUAACAAGCGAAUUUCUAGGAGUUCCCAUAAAUAUUGCUUCGUCCCCAAAGUGACCGUACCAUUUGGAUAUGAGUUUCCUAACCAUUGUUGAUCUUAAAACGUAUCCCCAAGCCUCAAAACAUGAAACUUUGUGAGGAGAGGUGAUAUUGGGACGUGAUCUAUGGUCCAACUGAACCAAACUUUGAUCCCACUUCGAGUCCUUCAUUGGUCUUGUUACUCUUAGAAUUUUUAGGACUCCGAGACGAUAGGGGUUGUUGGGGAGCUAACAAGCAUGUUAUUUGACUCGAGAAAUUUGUUAAAGCUAUGGAUCGCCUUAAGGUCUACCUUUAGUUGUUGAGCCUGGAAUUCGUGGCCAUCACAAGGACAAGAAUGAUAUGACUUUGUAAACGAUGAGACAUCGUGUCCAAGCCUCUCCAACAGGGACAUCAAAAGGAUUCACAUUUUGUGGGUACAUCAUCUUCUCGACGCCAAAUUUGUUAUUCGUAUUACUUCCUUGGUAUAUCUUUCUUAUUUUAUGGGAAACCAAUAUGAAAGGCUCUCGUUGUGAUGUUUCAUUUCCCAUGUUCUUAUCUCUUUACUUUAAUAUAUUUUCAUUCUUAUUUCUUAUCUCUUUACCUUUUCUUUCCCCCCUUUUUUCUAUGUCUUUGUUUAUUUCUUAACCUUUCGAGUUCUAGAUAUUUAUCUUUUUAGCUCCCAAUAUAUUUUCAAAAUAUGAAUGUGUCUCCGAGAUAUAUGAUUUUUUAACAUACAUUUUUUUACGAAAUACAUGAACAUUUUCUUUUGGUACAUGUGAAUAAUUUUCUUGUAAGAAAAGAUUAUUUUUAGUGUACAAGGAUAUUUGUAAAAGAUCGUAUGAAGAUCUUUUCUGAGAUAUAUAAAUAUUUGUUUUGAUAAAUGUGAUUCCUUUCUUGCAAAUUUUUUUAUGUCCAAGAAUAUUUUAAAGAAUAUGAACACUUCCUCGAAAUACAUGAACACUUUUUUAAAAUACACAAAACCAUUAUUAUCCAUACAUAUAAAAAUUUCUCGGGCAUCCAUGCAUAUUUUUAAAAUAUGUAAAAAACGUCUUAAAAUACAUGGACCCUUUAAAAAAA
Molecule: long non-coding RNA, 6117 nt
Filed under: Triticum aestivum (bread wheat)
Lineage: Eukaryota; Viridiplantae; Streptophyta; Magnoliopsida; Poales; Poaceae
Description: long non-coding RNA (TAES_LNC016565)
Source: RNAcentral